This 454-nucleotide ribosomal RNA is filed under the name uncultured bacterium. RNAcentral's name for it is "partial 16S ribosomal RNA". It matches the Rfam family "Bacterial small subunit ribosomal RNA", at positions 28 to 507 of the family's 1533-position model. The record is from RNAcentral.
GAUGAACGCUGACAGAAUGCUUAACACAUGCAAGUCAACUUGAACUUCGGUUUGGGUGGCGGACGGGUGAGUCACGCGUAAAGAACUUGCCUCACAGUUAGGGACAACAUUUGGAAACGAAUGCUAAUACCUGAUAUUAUGAUUUUAGGGCAUCCUAGAAUUAUGAAAGCUAUAUGCGCUGUGAGAGAGCUUUGCGUCCCAUUAGCUAGUUGGAGAGGUAACGGCUCACCAAGGCGAUGAUGGGUAGCCGGCCUGAGAGGGUGAACGGCCACAAGGGGACUGAGACACGCCCCUUACUCCUACGGGAGGCAGCAGUGGGGAAUAUUGGACAAUGGACCAAGAGUCUGAUCCAGCAAUUCUGUGUGCACGAUGAAGUUUUUCGGAAUGUAAAGUGCUUUCAGUUGGGAAGAAAAAAAUGACGAUACCAACAGAAGAAGUGACGGCUAAAUACGUG